GACAGAGGGUGCAAGCGUUGUUCGGAAUCAUUGGGCGUAAAGCGCACGUAGGUGGCCUUGCAAGUCGGAUGUGAAAGCCCAGGGCUUAACCCUGGAAGUGCAUCCGAAACUGCUCGGCUUGAGUCCCGGAGAGGGUGGCGGAAUUCCGAGUGUAGAGGUGAAAUUCGUAGAUAUUCGGAGGAACACCAGUGGCGAAGGCGGCCACCUGGACGGAGACUGACACUGAGGUGCGAAAGCGUGGGUAGCAAACAGG
Molecule: ribosomal RNA, 253 nt
Filed under: uncultured bacterium
Lineage: Bacteria
Description: partial 16S ribosomal RNA
Rfam family: Bacterial small subunit ribosomal RNA
Source: RNAcentral